This 497-nucleotide ribosomal RNA is filed under the name uncultured bacterium. RNAcentral describes it as "partial 16S ribosomal RNA". It matches the Rfam family "Bacterial small subunit ribosomal RNA", at positions 28 to 507 of the family's 1533-position model. The record is from RNAcentral.
GACGAACGCUGGCGGCGUGCCUAAUACAUGCAAGUAGAACGCUGAAGCGAGAAGCUUGCUCUUCUUGGAUGAGUUGCGAACGGGUGAGUAACGCGUAGGUAACCUGCCUUGUAGCGGGGGAUAACUAUUGGAAACGAUAGCUAAUACCGCAUAACAAUGGAUGACACAUGUCAUUUAUUUGAAAGGGGCAAUUGCUCCACUACAAGAUGGACCUGCGUUGUAUUAGCUAGUAGGUGAGGUAAUGGCUCACCUAGGCGACGAUACAUAGCCUACCUGAAAGGGUGGUCGGCCAAACUGGGACUUAGACACGGCCCAGAAUCCUACGGGAGGCAGCAGUAGGGAAUCUUCGGCAAAGGGGGCAACCCUGACCGAGGAACGCCGCGGGAGUGGAGGAGGUUUUCGGAUCGGAAAGCUCUGUUGUAAGUCAAGAACGGGUGUGAGAGUGGAAAGUUCACAAUGUGACGGUAGCUGACCAGAAAGGGACGGCUAACUACGUG